CAGUCGCCGCGGGAAUACAGAGGGUGCGAGCGUUAAUCGGAUUUACUGGGCGUAAAGCGUGCGUAGGCGGCUAAUUGAGUCGGAUGUGAAAUCCCCGAGCUUAACUUGGGAAUUGCAUUCGAUACUGGUUAGCUAGAGUGUGGGAGAGGAUGGUAGAAUUCCAGGUGUAGCGGUGAAAUGCGUAGAGAUCUGGAGGAAUACCGAUGGCGAAGGCAGCCAUCUGGCCUAACACUGACGCUGAGGUACGAAAGCAUGGGGAGCAAACAGGAUUAGAUACCCCUGUAGUCCCUGUCUCUAUACA
Molecule: ribosomal RNA, 301 nt
Filed under: uncultured bacterium
Lineage: Bacteria
Description: partial 16S ribosomal RNA
Rfam family: Bacterial small subunit ribosomal RNA
Source: RNAcentral